RNAcentral lists this ribosomal RNA (497 nucleotides) under uncultured bacterium. Its description in RNAcentral is "partial 16S ribosomal RNA". It matches the Rfam family "Bacterial small subunit ribosomal RNA", at positions 28 to 507 of the family's 1533-position model. The record is from RNAcentral.
GACGAACGCUGGCGGCGUGCCUAAUACAUGCAAGUUGAGCGCUGAAGGUUGGUACUUGUACCAACUGGAUGAGCAGCGAACGGGUGAGUAACGCGUGGGUAAUCUGCCUUUGAGCGGGGGACAACAUUUGGAAACGAAUGCUAAUACCGCAUAAAAACUUUAAACACAAGUUUUAAGUUUGAAAGAUGCAAUUGCAUCACUCAAAGAUGAUCCCGCGUUGUAUUAGCUAGUUGGUGAGGUAAAGGCUCACCAAGGCGAUGAUACAUAGCCGACCUGAGAGGGUGAUCGGCCACAUUGGGACUGAGACACGGCCCAAACGCCUACGGGAGGCAGCAGUAGGGAAACUUCGGCAAUGGACGAAAGUCUGACCGAGCAACGCCGCGUGAGUGAAGAAGGUUUUCGGAUCGUAAAACUCUGUUGGUAGAGAAGAACGUUGGUGAGAGUGGAAAGCUCAUCAAGUGACGGUAACUACCCAGAAAGGGACGGCUAACUACGUG